GAUGAACGCUGGCGGCGUGCCUAAUACAUGCAAGUCGAGCGAACAGACGAGGAGCUUACUCCUCUGACGUUAGCGGCGGACGGGUGAGUAACACGUGGAUAACCUACCUAUAAGACUGGGAUAACUUCGGGAAACCGGAGCUAAUACCGGAUAACAUGUUGAACCGCAUGGUUCAACAGUGAAAGACGGUCUUGCUGUCACUUAUAGAUGGAUCCGCGUCGCAUUAGCUAGUUGGUAAGGUAACGGCUUACCAAGGCAACGAUGCGUAGCCGACCUGAGAGGGUGAUCGGCCACACUGGAACUGAGACACGGUCCAGACUCCUACGGGAGGCAGCAGUAGGGAAUCUUCCGCAAUGGGCGAAAGCCUGACGGAGCAACGCCGCGUGAGUGAGGAAGGUCUUCGGAUCGUAAAACUCUGUUAUUAGGGAAGAACAAAUGUGUAAGUAACUAUGCACGUCUUGACGGUACCUAAUCAGAAAGCCACGGCUAACUACGUGCCAGCAGCCGCGGUAAUACGUAGGUGGCAAGCGUUAUCCGGAGUUAUUGGGCGUAAAGCGCGCGUAGGCGGUUUUUUAAGUCUGAUGUGAAAGCCCACGGCUCAACCGUGGAGGGUCAUUGGAAACUGGAAAACUUGAGUGCAGAAGAGGAAAGUGGAAUUCCAUGUGUAGCGGUGAAAUGCGCAGAGAUAUGGAGGAACACCAGUGGCGAAGGCGACUUUCUGGUCUGUAACUGACGCUGAUGUGCGAAAGCGUGGGGAUCAAACAGGAUUAGAUACCCUGGUAGUCCACGCCGUAAACGAUGAGUGCUAAGUGUUAGGGGGUUUCCGCCCCUUAGUGCUGCAGCUAACGCAUUAAGCACUCCGCCUGGGGAGUACGACCGCAAGGUUGAAACUCAAAGGAAUUGACGGGGACCCGCACAAGCGGUGGAGCAUGUGGUUUAAUUCGAAGCAACGCGAAGAACCUUACCAAAUCUUGACAUCCUCUGACCCCUCUAGAGAUAGAGUUUUCCCCUUCGGGGGACAGAGUGACAGGUGGUGCAUGGUUGUCGUCAGCUCGUGUCGUGAGAUGUUGGGUUAAGUCCCGCAACGAGCGCAACCCUUAAGCUUAGUUGCCAUCAUUAAGUUGGGCACUCUAAGUUGACUGCCGAUGACAAACCGGAGGAAGGUGGGGAUGACGUCAAAUCAUCAUGCCCCUUAUGAUUUGGGCUACACACGUGCUACAAUGGACAAUACAAAGGGUAGCGAAACCGCGAGGUCAAGCAAAUCCCAUAAAGCUGUUCUCAGUUCGGAUUGUAGUCUGCAACUCGACUACAUGAAGCUGGAAUCGCUAGUAAUCGUAGAUCAGCAUGCUACGGUGAAUACGUUCCCGGGUCU
RNAcentral lists this ribosomal RNA (1372 nucleotides) under uncultured bacterium. RNAcentral describes it as "bacterial SSU rRNA". It matches the Rfam family "Bacterial small subunit ribosomal RNA", at positions 28 to 1381 of the family's 1533-position model. The record is from RNAcentral.